AAAAGCAACUUGGGGGAGGUAAGGUUGACUUGGCUUACACUUUCCUCAUCAUAUCCCUCUAUCAUAAAGGGAUAUCAAGUCAGGACAGAAAUUCAAGGCUGGAACCCGGAGACUGAAGGAGAGACCAUGAGAAAUAAAGCUUACAUUUCCAGGACCACCUCCCCAGGAUUGACACUUCCCACAGUAGACUGAACCCUCCUAUGUCAAUUAAAAAUCAAGAAACUGUCCCACAGUUGACAAUGGAUGCUAAUCAUGAUAUAACCCUUUUAUCUAGCAGCUUCUAGUGGCUACCGGAAACCCUUUGCUUGUGACCACCAUUGCUAUACACUUGGAGAAGCCAGAAGAAGACAUUAGAUACCCCCUGGAACCGGAGUUAUAGAUGGUGUAAUUCCUAGCGCCUGGUGACUGCUAGGAAUUGAACUUAGAUCCUCUGAAAGAACAGCCAGUGUUCUUAACUAUUGAACAGUCUCUCCAGCCUUUCCUCCCACACUAUAAGAAAGAGGAAGAGGAGGAGGAAGAGGAGGAGGAGGAGGAAGAGGAGGAGGAAGAGGAGGAGGAGGAAGAAGAGGAGGAGGAGGAGGAAACAAGGCCUCAUCAUGUAGCCCUAUUUGACCUGGAGUGCUACAUAGACCAAGCCAGCCUGGCACUCACAGUGUUCAACCUACCUCUGCCUCCUGAGUGCUGGUAUUAAAACAUGUAUGACUACACCCA
Rattus norvegicus (Norway rat) is the source of this 711-nucleotide non-coding RNA. The record is from RefSeq and is a predicted model, not a curated record. NCBI's taxonomy places the organism in Eukaryota, Metazoa, Chordata, Mammalia, Rodentia, Muridae.